RNAcentral lists this ribosomal RNA (301 nucleotides) under uncultured bacterium. Its description in RNAcentral is "partial 16S ribosomal RNA". It matches the Rfam family "Bacterial small subunit ribosomal RNA", at positions 509 to 808 of the family's 1533-position model. The record is from RNAcentral.
CAGCCGCCACGGGAAUACAGAGGGUGCGAGCGUUAAUCGGAUUUACUGGGCGUAAAGCGUGCGUAGGCGGCUUCUUAAGUCGGAUGUGAAAUCCCUGAGCUUAACUUAGGAAUUGCAUUCGAUACUGGGAAGCUAGAGUAUGGGAGAGGAUGGUAGAAUUCCAGGUGUAGCGGUGAAAUGCGUAGAGAUCUGGAGGAAUACCGAUGGCGAAGGCAGCCAUCUGGCCUAAUACUGACGCUGAGGUACGAAAGCAUGGGGAGCAAACAGGAUUAGAUACCCCUGUAGUCCCUGUCUCUUUACA